UCCGCCUCAGGUGUGAGGCUUUUUAGUUUUUAGGUUUUUCUUAGUCUUUUUUGCGUCCAAGCAUGUGACGCUUUUUUGUAAGUAAGGCCGGAGGUUGUGUUUUAUUUUGUAAAGACUGCUGAAAAUAUAAUAUAUUGAGUUGUUUUCAGAUAAGCCUUUGUUUUACACUUUGAUCCUGCGCAGGUCUCUGGCGGAGGACCUGCGCAGGAUCGUUUCAUUACUCCCCUUUCGUUUUUUUACAAAGGGAUUUAUGUUUCUGGCGAAUUGUGGGAGUAUUGGCAAGUUGCCUUCCCUAACAUGAGAUUGGUGGAUAUGUUCGAGUUUGUUGGAUAUGAUAUUGAUGGCGAAGGAUCUGGAUUUAUCCAGUCGUUUGCGCGCCGAGGUUCAUGGCCUCCGGCUUAGGUGGAUGAUUUUGUUUUUCUUUUCGUUU
Molecule: long non-coding RNA, 430 nt
Filed under: Sorghum bicolor (sorghum)
Lineage: Eukaryota; Viridiplantae; Streptophyta; Magnoliopsida; Poales; Poaceae
Description: long non-coding RNA (SBIC_LNC009652)
Source: RNAcentral